Molecule: ribosomal RNA, 554 nt
Filed under: Terralonus mylothrus
Lineage: Eukaryota; Metazoa; Arthropoda; Arachnida; Araneae; Salticidae
Description: partial 16S ribosomal RNA
Rfam family: Bacterial large subunit ribosomal RNA (bases 169-462)
Source: RNAcentral
UUAGUAGUAAAGUCUGCUCAAUGAAUUUUCAAUAGCCGCUAAUAGUGCUAAGGUAGCAUAAUCAUUUGUCUUUUAAAUGAAGACUGGAACAAAAGAUUUAACAUCUUAAUUAAUUUUUCUAUUUAAAAAUCUUAACUUAUUUUAAAAGUAAAAAAACUUUUAUACCUAAAAAAGACGACAAGACCCUAUUGAACUUUACUUUAGUUAAACUGGGGCAGUUAAUUAAUUAUUAUUUUAAUUUAAAUAUUAAACUAAAUAGCCUUACAAUAGAUAACUCAGUUACCAUAGGGAUAACAGCGUAAUUUUAUUUUAAAGACCUUAUUAAAAAUAAUGAUUGCGACCUCGAUGUUGAAUUAAUAGCCUAAUUUAAAGCAAAAAUUAAAACAGGAAGUCUGUUCGACUUUUAAACAAUUACAUGAUUUGAGUUCAGACCGGUGUAAGCCAGGUCGGUUUCUAUCUUUUAAAAACAUUUUUGUAGUACGAAAGGACCUAAAAAUAAAAUUUUAUUUACUAAAUUGGCAGAUUAAUGCAUUAGAAUUAGAAUCUAAUUAUCU